GCCGCGAUAGCUCAGUUGGGAGAGCGUCAGACUGAAGGGAGAGUAUAUUUGAGAAAUCUGAAGGUCGCUGGUUCAAUUCCGGCUCGCGGCA
RNAcentral lists this transfer RNA (91 nucleotides) under Lingula anatina. It matches the Rfam family "tRNA". Rfam says of the family: Transfer RNA (tRNA) molecules are approximately 80 nucleotides in length. Their secondary structure includes four short double-helical elements and three loops (D, anti-codon, and T loops). Lineage: Eukaryota; Metazoa; Brachiopoda; Lingulata; Lingulida; Lingulidae. The record is from Rfam by way of RNAcentral.